RNAcentral lists this ribosomal RNA (1300 nucleotides) under uncultured bacterium. RNAcentral's name for it is "bacterial SSU rRNA". It matches the Rfam family "Bacterial small subunit ribosomal RNA", at positions 84 to 1399 of the family's 1533-position model. The record is from RNAcentral.
UUUAUAGGAUAGUGGGGGAGGGGUGAGUAAUAGGUGAGAAAUGUGAAAGAGAAGGGGGGAUAAGAGGGGGAAAUUGUUGAUAAUAGAGGAUAAAUUAGUUUUAAUGUAUGUUAGAAGUGGGAAAGGGUUUAGGGAUGUGGGAUGGGUUAGAGAAUUAUUAGGUUGUUGGUGGGGUAAGGGAAUAAGAGGGGUGGGAUGGGUAGGUGGUAUGAGAGGAAGAUAAGUUAUAGUGGAAAUGAGAGAUGGUAUAGACUCCUACGGGAGGCAGCAGUGGGGAAUAUUGCACAAUGGGCGAAAGCCUGAUGCAGCGACGCCGCGUGGAGGAUGAAGGCUUUCGGGUCGUAAACUCCUGUCUGGGGGGAUGAAUUUUUGACAGUACCCCCGGAGGAAGCCCCGGCUAACUACGUGCCAGCAGCCGCGGUAAUACGUAGGGGGCGAGCGUUGUCCGGAAUUACUGGGCGUAAAGCGCGCGCAGGUGGCUUGUUAAGUCAGGUGUCAAAAUGCGGAGCUCAACUCCGCAGCGCACUUGAAACUGGCAGGCUUGAGUGCAGGAGAGGAAAGUGGAAUUCCUAGUGUAGCGGUGAAAUGCGUAGAUAUUAGGAGGAACACCAGUGGCGAAGGCGACUUUCUGGACUGCAACUGACACUGAGGCGCGAAAGCUAGGGGAGCAAACAGGAUUAGAUACCCUGGUAGUCCUAGCCGUAAAAGAAUGGGAACUAGGUGUUGGGGGUGCAAUUCCUCCAGUGCCGCAGUUAACGCAUUAAGUACCCCGCCUGGGGACUACGGCCGCAAGGCUGAAACUCAAAGGAAUUGACGGGGGCCCGCACAAGCAGCGGAGCAUGUGGUUUAAUUCGAUGCAACGCGAAAAACCUUACCAGGGCUUGACAUCCUCUGAAGCUAUAAGAGAUUAUAGUGUCCCUUCGGGGCAGAGAGACAGGUGGUGCAUGGUUGUCGUCAGCCCGUGUCGUGAGAUGUUGGGUUAAGUCCCGCAACGAGCGCAACCCCUAUUCUCAGUUGCCAGCACUUCAAGGUGGGCACUCUGAGGAGACUGCCGGUGACAAACCGGAGGAAGGUGGGGAUGACGUCAAAUCAUCAUGCCCCUUAUGUCCUGGGCUACACACGUGCUACAAUGGCCUGAACAACGGGCGUGCGAAGGAGCGAUCCGGAGCAAAUCCCUUAAAUCAGGUCCCAGUUCGGAUUGCAGGCUGCAACUCGCCUGCAUGAAGCAGGAGUUGCUAGUAAUCGCGGAUCAGAGUGCCGCGGUGAAUGCGUUCCCGGGUCUUGUACACACCGCCCGUCA